AAACGACAUUACAAAGAGAAAUUCGCUCGUCGCAAGUAAGUAACAAGCCUUGAGUAGUUUGUGCUCUUCAAGUUUCUCUUCUUCUUUCUAACAAUGGAAAUUUUGGAGAGAGGAGAAACCAGAGGAACCAGAGCCACCGAAAUAUAGGGAUCGUGCGAAGGAACGAAGAGAAGACCAAAAUCCCGAUUAUGAGCCCACCGNNNNNNNUGGGGUCUUUUCACGCAGUUGCUCCUCCAGGUGCAGUUGAUCUCCAGUCAGCUGACGCCCAC
RNAcentral lists this unclassified non-coding RNA (269 nucleotides) under Hevea brasiliensis (rubber tree). Lineage: Eukaryota; Viridiplantae; Streptophyta; Magnoliopsida; Malpighiales; Euphorbiaceae. The record is from RNAcentral.